GUUAAAAUCUAAGACGAGGUAGAUGGUGAAAUUAAUCUCAGAAUUCUCCAAAAGGAGGAGAUAAAUUGAAGAAGGGGUAUUCCUUACUCAUUUCAUACUGGAUUGUUCUGACUUUUGAUUUUUUUGCUUGUAGAGUAAAAUGCAACUGUUAUUAGAUUCACAUGACUACAUGGAUGCUGUGACACAGAAAGCAAAAGCAAAUUGAAGCAGUGUUUGAUGAAUAAUUAAUUACCUUGAUUUCUGAAGCAGGAUUCAU
This 256-nucleotide unclassified non-coding RNA is filed under the name Hevea brasiliensis (rubber tree). The record is from RNAcentral. Lineage: Eukaryota; Viridiplantae; Streptophyta; Magnoliopsida; Malpighiales; Euphorbiaceae.